CGAGCGGCGAACGGGUGAGUAACACGUGAGUAACCUGCCCCCAACUUUGGGAUAAGCCUCGGAAACGGGGUCUAAUACCGGAUAAUACCGAUUGCCUCAUGGUGGUUGGUUGAAAGUUCUGGCGGUUGGGGAUGGGCUCGCGGCCUAUCAGCUUGUUGGUGGGGUGAUGGCCUACCAAGGCUUCGACGGGUAGCCGGCCUGAGAGGGCGACCGGCCACACUGGGACUGAGACACGGCCCAGACUCCUACGGGAGGCAGCAGUGGGGAAUAUUGCGCAAUGGACGAAAGUCUGACGCAGCAACGCCGCGUGAGGGAUGACGGCCUUCGGGUUGUAAACCUCUUUCAGCAGGGACGAAGCGAGAGUGACGGUACCUGCAGAAGAAGGACCGGCCAACUACGUGCCAGCAGCCGCGGUAAUACGUAGGGUCCGAGCGUUGUCCGGAAUUAUUGGGCGUAAAGGGCUCGUAGGCGGUUCGUCGCGUCGGGAGUGAAAACUCGGAGCUUAACUCCGAGCCUGCUUCCGAUACGGGCGGACUGGAGGUAGGCAGGGGAGAGCGGAACUCCUGGUGUAGCGGUGGAAUGCGCAGAUAUCAGGAAGAACACCGGUGGCGAAGGCGGCUCUCUGGGCCUUACCUGACGCU
Molecule: ribosomal RNA, 641 nt
Filed under: Kribbella sp. I12A-02623
Lineage: Bacteria; Bacillati; Actinomycetota; Actinomycetes; Propionibacteriales; Kribbellaceae
Description: bacterial SSU rRNA
Rfam family: Bacterial small subunit ribosomal RNA
Source: RNAcentral